Long non-coding RNA from Dendronephthya gigantea, 535 nucleotides. RefSeq lists it as uncharacterized. NCBI's taxonomy places the organism in Eukaryota, Metazoa, Cnidaria, Anthozoa, Malacalcyonacea, Nephtheidae. The record is from RefSeq and is a predicted model, not a curated record. The transcript has 5 exons.
AGUAUUUCAAGCUGACUUCAAGCAACAAUAUGGCCGGCUGCCGGUUAUUUAGGCUUGACAAGUAAAAACUAUACAGCCGGCUGCCGGCUGUCUAGCCACUUCGUUAUUUAUUAUUAUAGAGAAGCCAAAUGAAUUCUACUUUUAAUACUGCGAUGAUCUCUUUAGCAAUCUGGGUCAAAGAAAAUAUCAUUGCAAUAAUAGUUUUCACCAAGAUUGAAUGAAGGCCUCAAAUUUGGCAAAUUAAGGGGAAACUUUAAUUCUAAUGAUAUGACAAGGAAAUAUCCCUUCCUUGCUGACUCAAUUGUGGUUGUGGAACAGGUUCAUGGACCAUAACAAGGCCAAGGGUAGAAACAAUUUUAGAAGAAUAUCCUGCACUUCAGCUUAUUACAGAGGUUGUUGAUUCCAUAGAUCAGGACCCAAGGCUAAUUCGUUCAGAAGACCUUUCAGAUGUUCAAACUUUGAUGAUUGCGGUGGAGGGGCAAAUGUUAACUUAUCAAAGAACAGACUCAACUUCAUUUUAUCUACUAAACAUGGA